This is a non-coding RNA of Solanum lycopersicum (tomato), 489 nucleotides long. Lineage: Eukaryota; Viridiplantae; Streptophyta; Magnoliopsida; Solanales; Solanaceae. The record is from RefSeq and is a predicted model, not a curated record.
GAUGGGUUUUAAUGGAACUAGGAUUUAACUUGGGGAGCUGGGUAAUUAGUAGAUCCAUGUUAGUGAUGGUGGAGAUGAGACUUUUGUAUAUGGGUUUGUGUUGGAUUUGAUUUUAACUUGUUAAAUUGAGAAAUCUUGAUUUUUUUUCCCCCACUGCUAUUGGUUGCUGAAAUGGGUUUGUGCUGAUUUAGAUUUUUUAAGUAUUGUAAUGGUGGAAUUUUGGUUAUUUUUACCUCUGCUAUUGAUUGUUGUUUUGAGUAACUUUUGUUGCUCAAUUUAUUGUGUAUUCAAAGGAAAUGGGCUAACACAGUUUUUGCUGGUUGCUUGUAUUAAUUUAGAGUUCUGGAAAGUCAUCUGUGUUGGAAAGCAUAGUAGCCCGAGAUUUUCUUCCUCGUGGAUCAGGAAUUGUCACAAGGAGACCAUUGGUGUUGCAGCUUCAUAAGACUGAUGACGGACAGCAGGAAUAUGCAGAGUUUGGUCAUUUGCCAA